This 440-nucleotide ribosomal RNA is filed under the name Acetobacter estunensis. RNAcentral's name for it is "bacterial SSU rRNA". It matches the Rfam family "Bacterial small subunit ribosomal RNA", at positions 338 to 795 of the family's 1533-position model. Lineage: Bacteria; Pseudomonadati; Pseudomonadota; Alphaproteobacteria; Acetobacterales; Acetobacteraceae. The record is from RNAcentral.
CCUACGGGUGGCUGCAGUGGGGAAUCUUGCACAAUGGGGGAAACCCUGAUGCAGCGACGCCGCGUGAGCGAUGAAGUAUUUCGGUAUGUAAAGCUCUAUCAGCAGGGAAGAAAAUGACGGUACCUGACUAAGAAGCACCGGCUAAAUACGUGCCAGCAGCCGCGGUAAUACGUAUGGUGCAAGCGUUAUCCGGAUUUACUGGGUGUAAAGGGAGCGUAGACGGAGUGGCAAGUCUGAUGUGAAAACCCGGGGCUCAACCCCGGGACUGCAUUGGAAACUGUCAAUCUAGAGUACCGGAGAGGUAAGCGGAAUUCCUAGUGUAGCGGUGAAAUGCGUAGAUAUUAGGAGGAACACCAGUGGCGAAGGCGGCUUACUGGACGGUAACUGACGUUGAGGCUCGAAAGCGUGGGGAGCAAACAGGAUUAGAUACCCUAGUAGUC